Molecule: ribosomal RNA, 460 nt
Filed under: uncultured Flavobacterium sp.
Lineage: Bacteria; Pseudomonadati; Bacteroidota; Flavobacteriia; Flavobacteriales; Flavobacteriaceae
Description: bacterial SSU rRNA
Rfam family: Bacterial small subunit ribosomal RNA
Source: RNAcentral
CCUACGGGGGGCAGCAGUGGGGAAUAUUGGACAAUGGGCGCAAGCCUGAUCCAGCCAUGCCGCGUGCAGGAAGAAGCAUCUAUGGUGUGUAAACUGCUUUUGUACGGGAAGAAACAUCACUACGUGUAGUGACUUGACGGUACCGUAAGAAUAAGGAUCGGCUAACUCCGUGCCAGCAGCCGCGGUAAUACGGAGGAUCCAAGCGUUAUCCGGAAUCAUUGGGUUUAAAGGGUCCGUAGGCGGUUUAAUAAGUCAGUGGUGAAAUCUGGUCGCUCAACGAUCAAACGGCCAUUGAUACUGUUAGACUUGAAUUACAAGGAAGUAACUAGAAUAUGUAGUGUAGCGGUGAAAUGCUUAGAUAUUACAUGGAAUACCAAUUGCGAAGGCAGGUUACUACUUGUGGAUUGACGCUGAUGGACGAAAGCGUGGGGAGCGAACAGGAUUAGAUACCCUAGUAGUC